Molecule: ribosomal RNA, 2020 nt
Filed under: marine metagenome
Description: bacterial LSU rRNA
Rfam family: Bacterial large subunit ribosomal RNA
Source: RNAcentral
AUAAGCUAUUUAAGAGCGUAUGGGGGAUGCCUAGGCUCUCAGAGGCGAAGAAGGACGUGAUAAGCUGCGAUAAGCUGCGGGGAUUGGCACACACAAUUUGAUCCGCAGAUUUCCGAAUGGGGAAACCCACUAUAUUGAAGAUAUAGUAUCCGUUAAGGAGGUAAACCCAGGGAACUGAAACAUCUAAGUACCUGGAGGAAAAGAAAACAAAAGUGAUUCCGUUAGUAGUGGCGAGCGAACGCGGAUUAGCCCAAACCAAAGUUGUUUCGGCAAUUUUGGGGUUGUAGGACCACGAUAUUGAAUGUUUAAUGAAUUAGAAUUCUUUGGAAAAAGAAACCAUAGAGGGUGAUAGUCCCGUAUAAGUAAAGAGAAUUAUUCAUAGUGGUAUCCUGAGUAGCGCGGGACACGUGUAAUCCUGUGUGAAUCUGGCGGGACCAUCCGCUAAGGCUAAAUACUCCUGAGAGACCGAUAGUGAACUAGUACCGUGAGGGAAAGGUGAAAAGAACCUUGAAUAAAGGAGUGAAAUAGACCCUGAAACCAUACGCUUACAAGCGGUCGGAGCCAUUUCGAUGGUGACGGCGUGCCUUUUGCAUAAUGAGCCUACGAGUUACCGUUUCUAGCAAGGUUAAAUACUUUAGGUAUGGAUCCGUAGCGAAAGCGAGUCUGAAUAGGGCGAAUAAGUUAGUGGUGGUAGACGCGAAACCGAGUGAGCUACCCAUGGGCAGGGUGAAGCUAUGGUAACACAUAGUGGAGGCCCGAACCCGUUGACGUUGAAAAGUCUUGGGAUGACCUGUGGGUAGGGGUGAAAGGCCAAUCAAACUCGGAAAUAGCUCGUACUCCCCGAAAUGCAUUUAGGUGCAGCGUUGAUUUAGUUUUAUAGAGGUAGAGCUACUGAUUGGAUGCGGGGGUUUCACCACCUACCAAUUCUUGACAAACUCCGAAUGCUAUAAAAUGAUGAUCAGCAGUGAGGGCAUGGGUGCUAAGGUCCAUGUCCGAGAGGGAAAGAACCCAGACCAUCAGCUAAGGUCCCAAAAUGUAUGUUAAGUUGAUUAAACGAGGUUGAACUGCCCAGACAGCUAGGAUGUUGGCUUGGAAGCAGCCAUUCAUUUAAAGAGUGCGUAACAGCUCACUAGUCGAGCGGUUCGGCAUGGAUAAUAAUCGGGCAUAAACAUACUACCGAAGCUAUGGACUUGUAAAAGUGGUAGGGGAGCAUUGUAGUUUCGCUGAAGGAAAAAUGUGAGUUUUUCUGGAGAGACUACAAAAGAAAAUGUAGGCAUAAGUAACGAUAAUGCGGGCGAGAAACCCGCACACCGAAAGACUAAGGUUUCCUCAGCUAUGCUAAUCAGCUGAGGGUUAGUCGGGACCUAACGCGAACCCGAAAGGGGUAGUGGAUGGACAACAGGUUAAUAUUCCUGUACCUGCUCACAUUAAACGUGACGGAGGCGUGGAUUUGGUGCGUACUGACGGAAUAGUACGUUGAAGCCAGUGGUAACACGGCGAUAGUACACUGAAACUUCGGUGGAUGUGAUAAUCCAGAGUAACGACUUCCAAGAAAAACAAGUGAAGCAGCCCGUACCCCAAACCGACACAGGUAGUUGGGAUGAGAAUUCUAAGGUGCUCGAGUGAUUCAUGGCUAAGGAACUAGGCAAAAUCGACCCGUAACUUCGGGAGAAGGGUCGCCCAUCUUCGGAUGGGCCGCAGUGAAAAGAUCCAGGCGACUGUUUAUCAAAAACACAGGGCUAUGCUAAAUCGAAAGAUGAUGUAUAUGGCCUGACACCUGCCCGGUGCUGGAAGGUUAAGUGGAGGGUUUAGCUUCGGCGAAGAUCUGAAAUGAAGCCCCAGUAAACGGCGGCCGUAACUAUAACGGUCCUAAGGUAGCGAAAUUCCUUGUCGGGUAAGUUCCGACCUGCACGAAUGGUGCAACGAUCUGGAUACUGUCUCGGCCAUGAGCUCGGUGAAAUUGUAGUAUCGGUGAAGAUGCCGAUUACCCGCAAUGGGACGAAAAGACCCCGUGAACCUU